AUGAACGCUGGCGGCGUGCCUAAUCCAUGCAAGUCGAGCGAACAGACGAGGAGCUUGCUCCUCUGACGUUAGCGGCGGACGGGUGAGUAACACGUGGAUAACCUACCUAUAAGACUGGGAUAACUUCGGGAAACCGGAGCUAAUACCGGAUAAUAUAUUGAACCGCAUGGUUCAAUAGUGAAAGACGGUUUUGCUGUCACUUAUAGAUGGAUCCGCGCCGCAUUAGCUAGUUGGUAAGGUAACGGCUUACCAAGGCGACGAUGCGUAGCCGACCUGAGAGGGUGAUCGGCCACACUGGAACUGAGACACGGUCCAGACUCCUACGGGAGGCAGCAGUAGGGAAUCUUCCGCAAUGGGCGAAAGCCUGACGGAGCAACGCCGCGUGAGUGAUGAAGGUCUUCGAAUCGUAAAACUCUGUUAUUAGGGAAGAACAAAUGUGUAAGUAACUAUGCACGUCUUGACGGUACCUAAGCAGAAAGCCACGGCUAACUACGU
RNAcentral lists this ribosomal RNA (495 nucleotides) under uncultured bacterium. RNAcentral's name for it is "partial 16S ribosomal RNA". It matches the Rfam family "Bacterial small subunit ribosomal RNA", at positions 29 to 506 of the family's 1533-position model. The record is from RNAcentral.